ACAGUAACAUGUAUAAUAGUGCUAAAUAAGAGUUGGCAUAGAUUUUAUAUAUUCUUUCACACUAUCAAUGAUAGAUAAUUUCUAUGUUAAAUAAGAGUCCUAAACAACCCAGAAAUCGAUAAGGUCAGUGAAAAACUCAAAAAUAGUAUAGCAAGCACAUUACAUGACAAAGAAAUGCAAUUUCAAAUGUGACUUUGGAACCCGAUAUUAUCCCCAAAUACAUAUUUACAUACAAGUUGACUUAUCAGUACAAGAUGCAAGGUGCUCGAAUUAUCGAUAUGGGACCAGACCAUCUUGGAUUCUUAGUUCUAGCACUUGAACAGGAGCCACGGUUUAAAUUACAGCUAGAAUUAUGAUAUUUUUGCUGUAUAUUUAUAGUCUUCACAUCACUUUUUAAAUUAUUAUGAAGUUUGAGAAGUAUAGAACGGAAAUAUGUUAUUAUAACCUGGAAGACUCCACCUUGAACCUUACUGUCACCUGAUUGCUCCAAGUAAAUUAGCACCAUCAAGCUUUGCUCCUUCCAAAUGCUGUGAAAAAAAAUGUAGCUGAAUAAAUUUUAACAAAGGAUCAAGUUGCAAUAAUGAAUUCAAGAUUGAAGCAAGCGUAAAUAUUAUGUAAGAUCUUGUUUGAUAGGGAUUUUGAUAAUUGAUUUUUUGACCGUUAGAGAUAAAGUGGAUCCCACCUGUGAGAGAAGAAUUUAAAAAUGACGGUUGGAAUAGUGAAAUAAUGGUCAAAAAAUUAAUUUUAAUUAACUUAAAAUCUAUACCAAACAAGCAAUAAAUACCAACCCUGAGUGUUGGCAUUCUCAACAAGGAGAAUAAUGGUAACUAGUUAGUCAAAUCUAUUGUUGACCACACAACUUUUUAACGUUUACCACUACAUGAAGAACUCGACUUAUAUUUUAUAGGAAAAUUAUGAUGAAAAAGAAAAACACAAAACGUACUAUUUCACAUUAAAUUUUUCUAGGGUAAUUGGGUACUGUUUAGUAUUUUCCAAUCUGUACAUAUUAUAAAAGAACUCAAUAGUUUGUCCUAGAAAGAAAUCCUAUACCUUUCCUAAUGCAAAUAAUUGAAAGAGUACCUAUUGAAAAUGAUUAUAUGGUAUUGAAAAUGAUCAUAUGGUCUCCCAAAUUUUGUCAAGACUCGAGAUCACAUAAAAAUAAAUAUUUAUUCCGGAUUAUGCAAUUCAAUAUUUAUUGAAUAAUUAAUAUUCCCAUACUUCUACUAUUUCUUGAAUACAUACUCAAUGAAGCAACAGUUGAACCAAUGACCCCGGUGCUGAAUAGGGAGGUUCCUGAUGGCUCUUUUAUUUUUACUUUCUCAAGCACUCUUCAUGAAUUAAUUUGAAUCAAAUACAAACACAUAAUUAUUAAUGUUCAUAUGCCUAUAGUACUCCCUGUUCAUUGUUUGUUCAGAUGAUAUUUUACAGCAAGCAAUAGCAACAGAGAGUGUCUUACUAAUUUGAGUUCCAGUAGCAGGAAGACUUCAUCUAAAACAACAUACACAAAAUUAUACAAAAUGGGCCAACUUCCAAACAGAAGGAUAGUAUUCAAGGAUUUCAUUUGAAAAACUAAAAUAUAAACUAAACUGGGCCAAUAUAGAUCACUGAUAAUAGGAAAAACCAGCAGUCUGGUCUGUUCAUAGAGCUGAAGGAAAAUGUCAUCAGUCUCGGUAUAUCUCAGUACUCGUAGUAAUUGAGUUAAGUAUGGUAUUAUAGAUGAAUGGAGGUGAAACAAGAACAAAUUUCUGAGGGACAUUUGCCUAUAUUGUAAUAUAACUAUGAAACUAGAUUACUUAACUAUAUAAAAUGACAGAUCUCCCACUAUAAGGACUGAAUGGAGACAAACUAUAGCCUGUCUACAGUCAAGCCUUCUAAUCAAAAGUAUGUCCCUCUCCACAGCACAAAUUAUAAGAUAAUACCUCAAAGUUCCAGUAAAUUUCAUUUUGCAUUUCUUCUGAAUUUCCUCUUCAUGUUCUCGUUUGAACAAAAGCAAAUAAGUGGAGAAAACAAAGGAAAGAAUGAAAGCUAAGUAUCGCAAUAUAGCUAUGAAGGAAAAUAAUAUCCUUGAGCCUUGUAACUACUAGUCUCAUUAUGAAAG
Molecule: long non-coding RNA, 2098 nt
Filed under: Olea europaea (common olive)
Lineage: Eukaryota; Viridiplantae; Streptophyta; Magnoliopsida; Lamiales; Oleaceae
Description: long non-coding RNA (OEUR_LNC003293)
Source: RNAcentral